AUUGAACGCUGGCGGCAGGCCUAACACAUGCAAGUCGAGCGGAUGAAGGGAACUUGCUCCUGGAUUCAGCGGCGGACGGGUGAGUAAUGCCUAGGAAUCUGCCUGGUAGUGGGGGAUAACGUCCGGAAACGGGCGCUAAUACCGCAUACGUCCUGAGGGAGAAAGUGGGGGUUCUUCGGACCUCACGCUAUCAGAUGAGCCUAGGUCGGAUUAGCUAGUUGGUGGGGUAAAGGCCUACCAAGGCGACGAUCCGUAACUGGUCUGAGAGGAUGAUCAGUCACACUGGAACUGAGACACGGUCCAGACUCCUACGGGAGGCAGCAGUGGGGAAUAUUGGACAAUGGGCGAAAGCCUGAUCCAGCCAUGCCGCGUGUGUGAAGAAGGUCUUCGGAUUGUAAAGCACUUUAAGUUGGGAGGAAGGGCAGUAAGUUAAUACCUUGCUGUUUUGACGUUACCAACAGAAUAAGCACCGGCUAACUUCGUG
RNAcentral lists this ribosomal RNA (484 nucleotides) under uncultured bacterium. RNAcentral's name for it is "partial 16S ribosomal RNA". It matches the Rfam family "Bacterial small subunit ribosomal RNA", at positions 30 to 507 of the family's 1533-position model. The record is from RNAcentral.